GUAAUUCUAGAGCUAAUACAUGCUAAAAACCCCGACUUCGGGAGGGGUGUAUUUAUUAGAUAAAAAACCAAUGCCCUUCGGGGCUCUUUGGUGAUUCAUAAUAACUUAACGGAUCGCAUGGCCUUGCGCCGGCGACGGUUCAUUCAAAUUUCUGCCCUAUCAACUUUCGAUGGUAAGGUAUUGGCUUACCAUGGUUUCAACGGGUAACGGGGAAUUAGGGUUCGAUUCCGGAGAGGGAGCCUGAGAAACGGCUACCACAUCCAAGGAAGGCAGCAGGCGCGCAAAUUACCCAAUCCCGACACGGGGAGGUAGUGACAAUAAAUACUGAUACAGGGCUCUUUUGGGUCUUGUAAUUGGAAUGAGUACAAUUUAAACCCCUUAACGAGGAACAAUUGGAGGGCAAGUCUGGUGCCAGCAGCCGCGGUAAUUCCAGCUCCAAUAGCGUAUAUUAAAGUUGUUGCAGUUAAAAAGCUCGUAGUUGAAACUUGGGCCUGGCUGGCCGGUCCGCCUCACCGCGUGUACUGGUCCGGCCGGGCCUUUCCUUCUGGAGAGCCUCAUGCCCUUCACUGGGUGUGUUGGGGAACCAGGACUUUUACUUUGAAAAAAUUAGAGUGUUCAAAGCAGGCCUUUGCUCGAAUACGUUAGCAUGGAAUAAUAGAAUAGGACGUGCGAUCCUAUUUUGUUGGUUUCUAGGACCGCCGUAAUGAUUAAUAGGGAUAGUCGGGGGCAUCAGUAUUCAAUUGUCAGAGGUGAAAUUCUUGGAUUUAUUGAAGACUAACUACUGCGAAAGCAUUUGCCAAGGAUGUUUUCAUUAAUCAG
Molecule: ribosomal RNA, 819 nt
Filed under: Lindgomyces breviappendiculatus
Lineage: Eukaryota; Fungi; Ascomycota; Dothideomycetes; Pleosporales; Lindgomycetaceae
Description: SSU rRNA
Rfam family: Eukaryotic small subunit ribosomal RNA
Source: RNAcentral